UCCUACGGGGCGCAGCAGUAGGGAAUUUUCGUCAAUGGGCGCAAGCCUGAACGAGCAAUGCCGCGUGAACGAGGAAGGUCUUCGGAUCGUAAAGUUCUGUUGAAGGGGAAAAGAGCGGAGAGAGGAAAUGAACUCCGAUUGAUAUUACCCUUCGAGGAAGUCACGGCUAACUACGUGCCAGCAGCCGCGGUAAUACGUAGGUGGCGAGCGUUAUCCGGAUUUAUUGGGUUUAAAGGGUGCGCAGGCGGCCUGUUAAGUCAGCGGUAAAAGCCCGGGGCUCAACCCCGGCGAGCCGUUGAAACUGG
RNAcentral lists this ribosomal RNA (305 nucleotides) under uncultured bacterium. RNAcentral's name for it is "bacterial SSU rRNA". It matches the Rfam family "Bacterial small subunit ribosomal RNA", at positions 337 to 636 of the family's 1533-position model. The record is from RNAcentral.